Molecule: ribosomal RNA, 495 nt
Filed under: uncultured bacterium
Lineage: Bacteria
Description: partial 16S ribosomal RNA
Rfam family: Bacterial small subunit ribosomal RNA
Source: RNAcentral
GACGAACGCUGGCGGCGUGCCUAAUACAUGCAAGUAGAACGCUGAAGGAGGAGCUUGCUUCUCUGGAUGAGUUGCGAACGGGUGAGUAACGCGUAGGUAACCUGCCUGGUAGCGGGGGAUAACUAUUGGAAACGAUAGCUAAUACCGCAUAAGAGUAGAUGUUGCAUGACAUUUGCUUAAAAGGUGCAAUUGCAUCACUACCAGAUGGACCUGCGUUGUAUUAGCUAGUUGGUGGGGUAACGGCUUACCAAGGCGACGAUACAUAGCCGACCUGAGAGGGGGAUCGGCCAAACUGGGACUGAGACACGGCCCAGACUCCUACGGGAGGCAGCAGUAGGGAAUCUUCGGCAAUGGACGGAAGUCUGACCGAGCAACGCCGCGUGAGGGAAGAAGGGUUUCGGAUCGUAAAGCUCUGUUGUAAGAGAAGAACGAGUGUGAGAGUGGAAAGUUCACACUGUGACGGUAUCUUACCAGAAAGGGACGGCUAACUACGUG